RNAcentral lists this ribosomal RNA (792 nucleotides) under uncultured bacterium. RNAcentral describes it as "bacterial SSU rRNA". It matches the Rfam family "Bacterial small subunit ribosomal RNA", at positions 1 to 787 of the family's 1533-position model. The record is from RNAcentral.
AAUUCGAUUAGUUUGAUCCUGGCUCAGAACGAACGCUGGCGGCGCGCCUAAUACAUGCAAGUCGAGCGAGAAGACGUAGCAAUACGUUUGUAAAGCGGCGAACGGGUGAGGAAUACAUGGGUAACCUACCCUAGAGUGGGGAAUAACUAGCCGAAAGGUUAGCUAAUACCGCGUACGCUCCUUGGACUUCGGUACAGGGAGGAAAGCGAUACCGUGGGUAUCGCGCUCUUGGAUGGGCUCAUGUCCUAUCAGCUUGUUGGUGAGGUAACGGCUCACCAAGGCUUCGACGGGUAGCUGGUCUGAGAGGACGAUCAGCCACACUGGCACUGCGACACGGGCCAGACUCCUACGGGAGGCAGCAGUAAGGAAUAUUGCGCAACGGGCGAAAGCCUGACGCAGCGACGCCGCGUGGGGGAUGAAGGUUUUCGGAUUGUAAACCCCUUUCGGGAGGGAAGAUGGAACGAGCAAUCGUUCGGACGGUACCUCCAGAAGCAGCCACGGCUAACUUCGUGCCAGCAGCCGCGGUAAUACGAAGGUGGCAAGCGUUGUUCGGAUUUACUGGGCGUACAGGGAGCGUAGGCGGUUCGGUAAGCCCUCUGUGAAAUCUCCAGGCUUAACCUGGAACAGUCGGAGGGGACUGCUGGGCUAGAGGACGGGAGAGGAGCGCGGAAUUCCCGGUGUAGCGGUGAAAUGCGUAGAGAUCGGGAGGAAGGCCGGUAGCGAAGGCGGCGCUCUGGAACGUUUCUGACGCUGAGGCUCGAAAGCGUGGGGAGCAAACAGGAUUAGAUACCC